CCGUGCUAGACGGGGAGGUAGCGGUGCCCUGUACCUGCAACCCGCUAUAGCAGGGUCGAAUUCCGGCCCCCGGUUUCGUAUUUUUAGGGACUGACCCGGGCAAGUAGCGUUGACGGCCGGGUCCCGUGCGGCGUAAGCUUGUGAACCCCGUCAGGUCCGGAAGGAAGCAGCGGUAAGCAAGUACUUGCGGGUGCCACGGGGUAGCCUGGCUUGAGCCAACUACCAGGGUAACGCCUAGGAAAAGAAAUCAAAGGCCGGUGCACGG
Molecule: signal recognition particle RNA, 265 nt
Filed under: Bacillota bacterium
Lineage: Bacteria; Bacillati; Bacillota
Description: Firmicutes bacterium (anaerobic digester metagenome) signal recognition particle sRNA large type
Rfam family: Bacterial large signal recognition particle RNA
About the family: The signal recognition particle (SRP) is a universally conserved ribonucleoprotein involved in the co-translational targeting of proteins to membranes. Archaeal SRP consists of a 7S RNA and homologues of the eukaryotic SRP19 and SRP54 proteins.
Source: RNAcentral